GGUAAAUCGGUGGUGGCGGGCGGGGUAAUACGAAGGGGGCUGGGGUUGGUCGGAGUUACUGGGCGUAAAGCGCACGUAGGCGGCUUGUUAAGGCAGGGGUGAAAUCCUGGAGCUCAACUCCAGAACUGCCUUUGAUACUGGCGAGCUUGAGUUCGGGAGAGGUGAGUGGAACUGCGAGUGUAGAGGUGAAAUUCGUAGAUAUUCGCAAGAACACCAGUGGCGAAGGCGGCUCACUGGCCCGAUACUGACGCUGAGGUGCGAAAGCGUGGGGAGCAAACAGGAUUAGAUACCCGUGUAGUC
Molecule: ribosomal RNA, 300 nt
Filed under: uncultured Bacillus sp.
Lineage: Bacteria; Bacillati; Bacillota; Bacilli; Caryophanales; Bacillaceae
Description: bacterial SSU rRNA
Rfam family: Bacterial small subunit ribosomal RNA
Source: RNAcentral